UACGUAGGGUGCAAGCGUUAAUCGGAAUUACUGGGCGUAAAGCGUGCGCAGGCGGUUGUGCAAGACAGAUGUGAAAUCCCCGGGCUUAACCUGGGAACUGCAUCCGAUACUGGAUGGCUUGAAUUCGGGAGAGGGAUGCAGAAUUCCAGGUGUAGCGGUGAAAUGCGUAGAUAUCUGGAGGAAUACCGGUGGCGCAGGCGGCAUCCUGGACCGACAUUGACGCUGAACGGCGAAAGCUAGGGGAGCAAACGGG
Molecule: ribosomal RNA, 253 nt
Filed under: uncultured bacterium
Lineage: Bacteria
Description: partial 16S ribosomal RNA
Rfam family: Bacterial small subunit ribosomal RNA
Source: RNAcentral